CUAUCGCUCGUGUGUAGCGAAAAUCCUUGUGGGCCGGGGUUCGGCACACAAGAUUGCAGCGGAUAGCUGGAUUAGCU
RNAcentral lists this small RNA (77 nucleotides) under Flavobacterium sp. 103. RNAcentral describes it as "Flavo-1 RNA". Lineage: Bacteria; Pseudomonadati; Bacteroidota; Flavobacteriia; Flavobacteriales; Flavobacteriaceae. The record is from RNAcentral.